Non-coding RNA from Stegodyphus mimosarum, 73 nucleotides. NCBI's taxonomy places the organism in Eukaryota, Metazoa, Arthropoda, Arachnida, Araneae, Eresidae. The record is from Rfam.
GCCUUUGUGGUGUAGUGGUCAGCACGCUGGGCGCGUAUUCCAAAAGUCCGCAGUUCGAGUCCCGGCGAAGGCG